GUCGGCAUAGUAUGAGAAACCAAAGUCUUUGGGUUCCGGGGGGAUUAUGGUCGCAAGGCUGGAACUUAAAGAAAUUGACGGAAGGGCACCACCAGGCGUGGAGCCUGCGGCUUAAUUUGACCCAACACGGGGAAACUCACCAGGUCCAGACACAAUAAGGAUUGACAGAUUGAGAGCUCUUUCUUGAUUUUGUGGGUG
This 198-nucleotide ribosomal RNA is filed under the name Chaetoceros curvisetus. Its description in RNAcentral is "partial Eukaryotic small subunit ribosomal RNA". It matches the Rfam family "Eukaryotic small subunit ribosomal RNA", at positions 1079 to 1276 of the family's 1831-position model. Lineage: Eukaryota; Bacillariophyta; Thalassiosirophyceae; Chaetocerotales; Chaetocerotaceae. The record is from RNAcentral.